RNAcentral lists this ribosomal RNA (253 nucleotides) under uncultured bacterium. RNAcentral's name for it is "partial 16S ribosomal RNA". It matches the Rfam family "Bacterial small subunit ribosomal RNA", at positions 524 to 776 of the family's 1533-position model. The record is from RNAcentral.
UACAGAGGUCUCAAGCGUUGUUCGGAUUCAUUGGGCGUAAAGAGCUCGUAGGCGGUCUGUUGCGUCGGCUGUGAAAACCCGGGGCUCAACCCCGGGCCUGCAGCCGAUACGGGCAGACUAGAGUUCGGCAGGGGAGACUGGAAUUCCUGGUGUAGCGGUGAAAUGCGCAGAUAUCAGGAGGAACACCGGUGGCGAAGGCGGGUCUCUGGGCCGAAAUUGACGCUGAGGAGCGAAAGCGUGGGGAGCAAACAGG